GGGAAAGGAACAGUGAGGAGAGAUGAGGAGGACGAGGGAGAGAGGCUGCAGCUGGAAGGACUUAACCUGUAUCUGCAGGCUGACUCUUCACAAACACCCACAUAACCCUCACCCACAGAUUCAUCCAACUACAUCUCCUCACACUUUUAUUACGCUGUUAUUAUGAUUUGUAGCACAAUUAAGUGCUAUGAUACAUUGGUAUUAUUGACUAUUAUUGAUUCAAAAACAGCAAUUUCUCAAGCUAAAAUGUCAUUACUUGAUACCUUAUGAUGAUAAAGUAUUGAGGUCAGAAAUGUUUGGAAUUUUUGCUAUCUGCCUUGUAUACUGUGCAUGCAGAACUCUCUCAAGCAAACUUCCAGAAUAGAGGAAUAACAAUUAAAGUGGCCUUGACUGAUG
Long non-coding RNA from Alosa alosa (allis shad), 396 nucleotides. RefSeq lists it as uncharacterized. The transcript is spliced from 2 exons. The record is from RefSeq and is a predicted model, not a curated record. Lineage: Eukaryota; Metazoa; Chordata; Actinopteri; Clupeiformes; Clupeidae.